UGGUGUCGGAUAGUUGCUCCAGGUAAAACUGGGGAGGAAAGUCCGAACAUUCAUUCUAAGGUGUCGCACAUGUGCAAUCUUAGAAAAGGGUAGCAGGUAACGCCUGCCGGGAGUAAUCCUAGAAGUGAGAACAGAAACGAUCCGGUUAAGUCCGGCUGAAACGGCAAAAUCUUUACCUGAAUGCAAGGCCGUGCUCCGAGAGAAAUUGAGGAGAGUGCCGCUAGAGGCUCAUAGCGAUAUGAGUCCCAGAUAAAUAACUAUCGUCCGCCAACUGGCGGAACAGAAUUCGGCUUAUAGACACCCAAACCAC
This 310-nucleotide RNase P RNA is filed under the name bacterium. RNAcentral describes it as "RNase P RNA component class A". It matches the Rfam family "Bacterial RNase P class A". From Rfam's summary of the family: Ribonuclease P (RNase P) is a ubiquitous endoribonuclease, found in archaea, bacteria and eukarya as well as chloroplasts and mitochondria. The record is from RNAcentral.